CCAAUAGCGUAUAUUAAAGUUGUUGCAGUUAAAAAGCUCGUAGUUGAACUUCGGGAUUUGCCCAUUGGUCAGGCUUAACUGUCUGUACUGGUGUGACGAGUUCCUACCUUCUGAGGAAUCUCCAUGUCAUUCAGUUGGUGUGGGGGGGAAUCAGGACUGUUACUUUGAAAAAAUUAGAGUGUUUAAAGCAGGCGUCCGUCUGAAUACAUUAGCAUGGAAU
RNAcentral lists this ribosomal RNA (220 nucleotides) under uncultured Diversispora. Its description in RNAcentral is "partial small subunit ribosomal RNA". It matches the Rfam family "Eukaryotic small subunit ribosomal RNA", at positions 591 to 815 of the family's 1831-position model. Lineage: Eukaryota; Fungi; Glomeromycota; Glomeromycetes; Diversisporales; Diversisporaceae. The record is from RNAcentral.